UGGCAUAACCAGGUCACGAUGUCAAAGAACAAGUGGAGGUAGAGGUUGAUGCUCUAACCAUUCAGUCUAGUAAGCCAAAAAAUGAAGUACAAGAUCCUAAUCAAGAAGAUGAUGAUGGUUCACCAAAUUAACAAUAAUAUAUAACAUUGCAACAUGCAGGGAGAGAAGAUAGAUUAGACCACCACAGAGGUGUAAAAAUUUAGUUGCAUAUGCCUUGUCAAUUAUAGAGACAACUGAUUUAUAGGAACCUGGUAAUUACAAGGAAGCUAUUUCGAGUUC
Molecule: long non-coding RNA, 279 nt
Filed under: Carica papaya (papaya)
Lineage: Eukaryota; Viridiplantae; Streptophyta; Magnoliopsida; Brassicales; Caricaceae
Description: long non-coding RNA (CPAP_LNC005438)
Source: RNAcentral